MicroRNA precursor from Anolis carolinensis (green anole), 90 nucleotides. Lineage: Eukaryota; Metazoa; Chordata; Lepidosauria; Squamata; Anolidae. The record is from Ensembl.
AAAUGGGGUCACACUGCAUUCAUUCCAGUGUAGAUGCACUCAUUGUUUGUAUCAUCCCCACUGCAGAAUGAAUGCAGGGUGGCCCUACUU